RNAcentral lists this ribosomal RNA (404 nucleotides) under uncultured bacterium. RNAcentral describes it as "bacterial SSU rRNA". It matches the Rfam family "Bacterial small subunit ribosomal RNA", at positions 29 to 418 of the family's 1533-position model. The record is from RNAcentral.
AACGAACGUUAGCGGCGCGCUUAACACAUGCAAGUCGAGCGAGAAAGGGGCAACCCCGGUAAAGCGGCGCACGGGUGAGUAACACGUAGGUAAUCUACCCUCGGGUGGAGGGAUAACUUUCCGAAAGGAAGGCUAAUACUGCAUGAGACCACGACCUCGAAAGGGGAUGGGGGUCAAAGCCGGCCUCUGUACACAAGCUGGCGCCUGAGGAUGAGCCUGCGGCCCAUCAGCUAGUUGGUAGGGUAAUGGCCUACCAAGGCGAAGACGGGUAGCUGGUCUGAGAGGAUGAUCAGCCACACUGGAACUGAGACACGGUCCAGACUCCUACGGGAGGCAGCAGUGGGGAAUCUUGCGCAAUGGGCGAAAGCCUGACGCAGCGACGCCGCGUGGGUGAUGAAGGCCUU